AUUGAACGCUGGCGGCAUGCCUUACACAUGCAAGUCGAACGCGAAAGGGGGGCAACUCCUGAGUAGAGUGGCGCACGGGUGAGUAAUGCAUCGGAACGUGUCCUGUAGCGGGGGAUAACCUAGCGAAAGCUAGGCUAAUACCGCAUACGUCCUACGGGAGAAAGUGGGGGAUCGUAAGACCUCACACUAUAGGAGCGGCCGAUGCCGGAUUAGCUAGUUGGGGGGGUAAAAGCCUACCAAGGCGACGAUCCGUAGCUGGUCUGAGAGGAUGAUCAGCCACACUGGGACUGAGACACGGCCCAGACUCCUACGGGAGGCAGCAGUGGGGAAUUUUGGACAAUGGGGGAAACCCUGAUCCAGCCAUGCCGCGUGAGUGAAGAAGGCCUUCGGGUUGUAAAGCUCUUUCGGCCGGGACGAAAUCGCACGCGUGAAUAUCGCGUGUGGAUGACGGUACCGGAAGAAGAAGGACCGGCUAACUACGUGCCAGCCGCCACCGUAA
Molecule: ribosomal RNA, 499 nt
Filed under: uncultured bacterium
Lineage: Bacteria
Description: partial 16S ribosomal RNA
Rfam family: Bacterial small subunit ribosomal RNA
Source: RNAcentral